UUCAAGUUGUUUCCUGGUUUCCUAAGGAGUUGGCUAAGGAGAGUCUCUGGGUUCCCAACCUUGUCCAACCUGAGCUCUGUCAAGCAGUCGAGCUGAGCAAAGGCCAACUCAAGCUCCUGAGGUGGUGUGAGGAUGUCUUUGCCUCCUUGCCAACCUAGCCCUUUCCAGACUUUGAAUUCCUCCGUCAUCAGUAGCUUCGCAAACCUCUGUACCUCAAUCUGGCCAAUAUCCUGUCCCUGCUGAGGAGGAGCAAUGCCCUCUGCCACCCUUUGCAUUCGAUCACUGGGAAUGCCCAACCUACAAGCGACCCUGGCAGCGAAGUGGAUGAAUCUGAUGUCGAGCUGUGGUACCAAAGCGGCCUUGAGAAUGUCAAUGUGAGCAGCAGCAGCAGCAGACGAACUGCCAUCACCAGGAGCAUCUCCCACAUCCAGAGCCCUGUCUAAACAGGGCGGAUUUGAAAUGCACCAGUUGAGCACACCAAUCAGAUCCUCCUCUGUGCCUCCAAACCUCUCGACGGUAGCACUCACCUCAUCAACAAACUCACCUUUGGAUGAGUGAAGCCUCUCCAAGAUCUCCCCACAAAAAAACUGAAUCGCAUCGAAGUGCCGCUUGUUGUCCCGCUCCGCUGCGAGAGCCUCCUUGAUCUCCUUGACAGAGUCACAGCCGAUCCACACUCGUCGCUCCUCCUCCAUGGAAGUUUGCCCUAGACCGAGUGAUCAUGAGUAAACUUCUCCCAGCUGUGGAUAAGAAAGUAAGCACGAGUUAGUUUAGGGUUUAGAACAGAUAAAAUGGGGAAGAAGGGGAAAGGGAAAAGAGAAGAUCGUCGCCACGACAAGGUGUUAGACGAGGAUGAUAUCGAUGCGAUCUUGGUAAGCAAUCUCUGGCCAAAGACUCUCAAUUGUUUUCCUUUUUGUCAGGCUAAACUCCACGAGGAGGAAGCAGAAAUUCAUGUCGAUGAGAAUGUAGCAGCUCCUUCACCAAUGCAAUUGCUCUGUGCGUAAGAAUUCGAUUGAAAUCUCCACUCUGGAAGCUCACAUUCUCUAGACUUCUUUUCUUGCGUUUCAGGUGACUGUAAAUCCAGUCAAGGACACUGAGCUGAUCGUCUAUGGAGGUGAAUACUAACAACGGUGACAAGGUUUGUGGUUAGUUUCGCUACGGUGAUUUGAUCUUCGUGUUUGCUAUGCUAGACUUUACGUUUAUGGUGAUCUCUACCGAUACAACAUCGAGAAGAACGAGUGGAAGCCUGUCACCAGUCCAAACUCUCCUCCCCCGAGGCGGUUGCGUGGAAAAACUGGCUCUUCAGUUUUGGUAUCCAGGAAUUCUCUUGAUUUUGGCAGUGUAGGUGGUGAAUUCGGUUUCAUGACUAUAAGGUGUGUUUCUAGCUGACUUACAAGAGAGUUCUUGCAGGAUUUAUGGAGACUGGAUUUAAACACAAAUAUCUGGCGGGAGCAGCUUCAACUAAAAGGCUGUCCAGGUGCUCGUUCCGGACAUAGAUUGGUAUGUAUUGCGCUUCUAAACAUAAUCUUUAUUUUUUUCUUUCUUGCCACAGAAACAUAAACUUAUUCUAUUUGGUGGAUUUUAUGACACGCUGAGGGAAGAAAGGUCGGCUGUUUCAGCAGUGUAGAUGUUUAGUAUUGAAUUUUUGACACAGGUACUUCAAUAAUCUUUAAGUGCUGGAUUUAGACGAUUAUAAGGUUUGUUUCUGUCGCUCAUCGUUCUUCCUUGUUUUUUAACAACUAAACUGAUUUCCUUUUGCAGUGGCAAGAGAUAAAACCCAAGCUUGGAGCUGCCUGGCCUUCAGCUGGAACUGGUUCUCAGCUUGCUGUUUAUUUAGAUGAGGUAUUUGUCUACUAAAAGUAUAGUUUUGCGUGUUGUGAACAUUUUUUCUUUUCUAGAUUUUCUUGUACGGUGGCUAUUUCAAAGAGCCUGUGCUUGUUUUACAUUCUCGUUUGGAGUUUUAGUUUUUCAAUGUGUUUUGUGAAGGUGAAAAAAUCCGGUAUGGCUCCUGGCCAAGAGCAGGAUUUUUGUCCACAUCUUGUUUGGUGGUGUAGUUGAUGCUGAUGAGUACGGUUUCAAUGCAUGCGUUGGAAAAACUAAUGUCUUUUGCAGGUGAUUCCCUGCACAGCGUUUUUAUGAUCGAGAUGUAUAUGCUUUCCAGAUGGUUUGUAUCUCGUCGAUUUUUUAAAAAUUAUCUAAGCACCAUCGCUCGCAGGUAUCCUUUGGAGCAAAGAGCCUAAAGAUUAAGGUAUGGCAAUCUGAGAUUGUGUAGUGGUUAAGUGUGCAUCCAAAGCAGAAGAAAGUGGUUGAUCCAAAUGUGGAAAAUGCGUCUCAACGUUGAGCGUUCUGCUUGAAGGUUGUUGCCUUGUGGAAGAAUGAAUGCUGGAAUGGUCGUUGGAAAGGAUACUUUGUUUCUGUAUGGAGGUAUGAAAGAAGUCGGCAAAAAAAAAGUGACACGACGACCUUUCCUCGCUGGACCUUCGAUGUGUGGAAGUGCAUUAUUGAGGUAGUAUGAUCGAGCCAUCAUCCAGCCUCAUACUAAUGUCUCAAGCAGGAAACACAAAGCGCGUGGAUUGAAGCUAGUAAGGAGAAAGGCGAAACUGAUGGUGACAACAGUGAUGCUGGAUCGAUUAAUAAAGGAAAAGACGAAGAGGACGAUGACGAGGUAGUAAAAAAGAAGGAUGUAAGAAAACUUGUCGGCUUCCUUUUGUAUUCUAGGAUGCAGUGGAGUCACUGUGAAGAGGCAGCUGCUAUUCUUAGGGGCGAAGGCAAAAAGCUGACACAGAAAGCACGGAAAUUAAAUAUCAAUCCGAGCUGGGCCUGGCUGAUUCCCAACAAACACUUUUGGUGAGUGCUGAUAGUAGUUCAUCUUCCUGUUUUGUUAUUGAUUUGUCUUUCAGCCUGGAGAAACGCUGAGAGAUUUUUUCUCUUGGACGAUCAUGUAUUGGCAAAUGGCACCUUACGAUCACACCCAACACACUGGAAAGGUGACAACGCAGGUUUUCUUUCGCUCGUUCUUCAUGCUCUAUGCAUCUAUCAGGAGCUCAGGAAGGAUGGAUUUGACUUGGCAAAGACACGCUACAGAGAACUUAAACCCGUCCUUGACAAGGUAAAGUGGUGUCUCAAGAAGGAAUCCUCACAACAGCAUUGUUUGAUUUGCAGCUCGAGACUUGAAGCCGACCACAACGCCGAAGAGGAGGCUACCAAACCUUCCAAAGAGCGCAGCACGAAGAAACGAUAAGGUCCGUGAUCUCUGAAAGUUCUAGCUGAAAAUUAAAUGAAUAGAUUACAGUUAUUCCCAGAGGUAUGGUGAGUGCUUUCCUUUUCUAGAGGCAAUGCCAUUGACAUGAAACCACUAGUAUACAAUCUCUGCGUCGCAUCAUCAAUGGUGAUAGAAGGUUAAUUAAUAACGACGAUCCGAGUGCAUGAAAUGGAUAUCCAGGAUAAAGUUUAUAUUUCCAUGAUUGCUCGCAGAGUGUAUGGGCCUGAGAUAUCCCAUGGCUCGCUUUCGGUUGCCUUUCGUAAAGUGCAGAGUGAACACUCUCUCUACGCGGUCCAUAAACUUUACUACCUGCAGUGCAUUGGAGCAAUGAAAUUCCAUCAGCAAGACCCUCAAAGGAAAAUUUCUUCACACCUUCCGACGUUGCAAAGUGGUAACUGCCAGACUCCAGUCACCUGAAAAUUCAAAAAAACCUUUUUAGAAGUCUGCACUAAUUUUCCAUUUUCCAUAAGUACCUUUUCAUAUUUCUUGCGGAUCUUGACGAAUGCCAUCAUGUUCAAGGAGCUGCCAAGUAAGUUUUCAACACUUUGAGAACAUGGAUCAAUCGUAUAGAGGUCAUUCACCUGAAGUUUCUUAGGAGUCGAAGCCCACGAUAAAAUUCGACAAAGGCCGUCUGGAGCAUCUUGGCUGCUCGCUGAACCUUUCCUUUGUUGCCGGGGCUCCCCUUCAAGCUCUGAGAUUCGUCAUCUACAACAUGGCAGAGAUCAAACGAUUCCAAGUUAAGUGCCACAGAAUUAGAGGCUGCUAGAACGAACCUUGCAUAGCGAUGAGCUCUUCCAUUUGGAUGUGAAGUUGCCGUGCUUGAGCAUCGUACUCGUCUUCCUUGCAUCUAAAAAAGUUGUCCACUUUGUUGAGCUGAUCGUCAAGGCCGAAAAAGAAGCUCUUUUCGUGAUCCGAUCGAGUUCCAAACAGCUCCGUCUCGUAAAAAUCCUCGCCAUCUCCAAUUCUCGUCUUGUGCACAACCUGAUCAUAUUGAAGUGUUUUGUUUUGUCUUUACAGUCCAGACCAUCAUCACAAACCAUGGACGUUUCCGAGGAUAUGGAUUGUUCGCAGCAGCUGCUUAGAAUGGCGCUGGGAUUUUGCAGCAAGUUUUCAAGCUUGCUCUUGUCAACGGAGAAGACAUUUGGAUCGAACACCUUGUGCUGCUGGUUCUUGGUAUGUAGGAUCUGGGUUUUGAUUCUCUUGACAACUUUCUUGAGCUGCUUGUAGUCGCAGUACUUCACCCGCCACUCUGGGACGAGCUGGCCCUCCAGCUGCUUCUGGAACUUCACCAUGUCUGAAAGCUUGGAUUACCUGAGGCGAACAUCGUCAAGAAAACGAUCAAGCAAGAGAUGAAAUACCUGGAGGAAAUGGUGUCAAGUUCAGAAUGCCUCUUCAAACUUUUCUGGCGCCUGUGCUCUGGAAGCACAGGAAGAACAGUGGCAGUGAGCAUAUGACGAGACAAAUGGUGGCGUGGAAUCAUCAAAUGCAUUGUGCUGGGGAGGAGCACCACCAAUUCUCACAAGAAAACAGCGCCUUAAGAUCAUCUCUGGAAAAAAGGGGGAAAGCCUUCGUUUCUCACCGACGCCAGCGAACAAUUACAUAAGAAUACGUUAUCCCGAGUGAAACUGACGCAGCAGAGUGCAAGAGGAGAGAAGAAGCAAGCGAUCCAUUGGCCUAUGGAACUAAAAAAGGAAACAAAAGGACAGGGAAUGCAGGGGAAUCUACAGGAAAAGCUGUCGUAAGUUACACACUUACACACACUCUCACACACUUCAACUCUUUUCUUGUCAACACGAGUAAUUUAUGCGAGCGAAAGGGAAUGAAAGAAUCAUUUGAGCAUCUAAAGCAUGGAAGGAAGCGAGGCACGAUGAUUCGUCCCUGCUUAUUUUUUCGCCUAUCGUUGGCUGUGUCUCCUACAUUAGGACCAAAGGUCUUCCCGCAUAACCAUCAAGCCACGUUUCGUGGAUUCGUAAUGCACUCGCAUAAGGCAUGCCAUCCUGUAAGAGAAGCAAAGCUGAAUAACUCCACCAAGACAAAGCGAUAAGAACGCCACCUCAUAUUGAAACACACGGCGGUUGUCAAGCGAUAAUUCAGCUCUUCGUCUGGAAUGCACCAGCAAAAGAAUAAUGCAUAUGACUCAGAAAGAAGAACUUGACGUACCCGUUCGCUGCCACUUAUCAAACUUGACAACCCAAGUAACGUCCCCAACCCCCAUCAACCCACAUACAGAAGUUCUUUCCCCUGGGAAUACCGUGGAGGGGACGUAGAAUCUCAACGCUUCUACGAAGAUCGUCUUCUAGUUUCCACGGAGUGACCAGCGUUGAGUCAGGGGCCUGCCAGCCAUUUCGUUGCUCAACCAUCAAAAACUACUAAACACGAGGAACUUACCAUUGGCCUUUUCAAGUGUUCAAACACCUCGUGGGAGCUUUCAACCUCGCCUCGUAACCAUCUCACACUCCACGUCCGAUCAACCCUUCGGUGUCCCCAGCAGUGAGCUGGCUCAGUAAGUCGGCAUCCCUGGGCGAAACACAAGGAUCAAACUUGAACUCUCGGAUAGCUUGUAAGAUUCCCGAAGCGCAUCUUUCAGUGCCACGAAAGAUCUUGGGAUUGUCUUUGGCAUUAUCAAGGUACCACUACGUAAGAUCUUCAAACGCAUUCCCGACCUGAGAUCGUCAGUGAGUGAGUGAGUGAUCAAUCGACUUCAAGAACUGAAACGUCUUUGACGUCCAGCGCCUCCUCCUGAUUGAGCACCGAGAUCCACGUCGCGCUCUCCUUGGCAGUUAUCUUGUCUUGCAAGCACUUGGACUGCCUCACGAGCUUCCUGAUCUUCCCGAUAUCCGGGGACAUGUGUCGGAUCACCGCAGUGAGAACUCCAACCUUCCACACCUUCUUGAGAUCAUGGGGCUUCUUAUACGGAUCCAUCUUGCGGAUCGAUCGGAGUGGAAGUAUUUCGAGCGCCCGCUGCCAAGAGGAGGGAAUAUUUCGGAGCGAUUACCUCCAAUUCGCCAUGGAAAGCCGAGGAUCGAAUGGGAAAAGCGAGGAAGAUCACGGGAAGCAGAGAGAAAGAAGGAAAAAGCUCGAUUCAACGCGAGCCCCUUGUGUGAUUACCUAGCUCCAUCGAUGCCCCGUCGACGCGCGCUGCGCUCGCCGAUCGCGCCCGUGACACAGUGGCGCAGCGCCUUCAAAUUCGACACAUUGCCCGGGCAAGCGUCACAAUCCCAAUGCCGCCACCGCUGCGGGCGCUGCCAACGCGAUCAACGAGAAUCGAUGCCCUAGCGCAUCAAGAUCCCCGCUUUGCUCGGCGAGAGAGAGAAGAGCAAAGGCGCAGCGCCCCUCGUCAUAGCCAACUACUAGGUCAUAGCUAUCCAUCUAAAUGCCGUACAAUUCCCCCCAGGUCGGGUUUAUGACAUGGAAGUCCACUGGCUUUUUGACACGUGGCACACCUACAUCUGGAUUUACAAGGACGCCCUUUUCAGCCCUUCGCUUACGGUCAAUUUAGCUAUCUGCCUCAAAUUUAGCUAACCGGUUUGUUGCCAGAUUUAGCAGCUCCCCGAAUUUAAAUCACUUUUGUCCAAGCUGCCAGUUUGUCGGAAUCCAGUUUGGGUCAUAAAAUGGACCACUGGGGGACGCCGGGCUCGAACCCGGACCAGCGGAUGCCGCGCCGCGCCGGACUCCGGCGGUCUCGUCGCCGGACUCGAACCCGCCACCGUACGCUCCACGCCUCCACCGCUACCAUACGCCUCUCUCUAGUUUAUUAUACGCCUCCAAUCCUUCCUCAUGAUCAACGAGACAACCAACCCCGCGUAGAGUACGUGGGGUACGACGUUUGAAACUCCAUUCAUUGGGUUUUGUUAAAGAGAAUAAAAGACAGAACGCCACUGUAGCUAAACCUAGAAAUCAAAAACUAAACUACAUCGUGCCAUUAUUGGUUUGAGAUGCAACACCUUUUACUCGGGCACCCUAGCGAAUAAUAGAAUAUUUUCUGCCGGAGAAUAUUCUGGAAUCGGCCCGUGGUCCACAUGAUAGAGGGCAGUGACAAGAGGUUUUGGGCCCCCCUCAAAAUGCUUAUUUUUAUUGUUCGCUGGGAGUCCAUGUUCCCUCUUUAGCUCCCAUGUGUGGCCUUUGUUUUUGUUGCCAGCCAAACAAACACACAGAAAGUUUGAAGGAGAGAGAGAGUGUGCAAAAAUCUGAGAGGAGAGAAAGAAAUGGCACCGGCUUUGAUUGACUUUGCCGCGCUCCACUUCUUUGAUCCCUCCAUCUCCAUCUCGUCCUUUUUCUUUUUCUACUCGGACUCGGACGAUUCGAUCCAUCUCAUGUUUCGCUCGAAGUCGAUGGAUCACUGCCCAAUCACUCCAUCACUUCUUGUCGACUGGAAAAGUCUUUAAAUUCCUCUCGCUGAUGCGAUCAGCACGGCAUUAGCCUGAGAUCAAGGCCGCGGAUCAUCCAGCAAAGUCUAAGCUUUUUGCCAAGGAUGUGACAAGCUAACGUGUUGUCCAGGCGCUUACAGGUUCCAUUGUUUUUCCAAUCACAAUUCUUUUUCCUCCGGCGACCGGCACGAAAGUCGUCCGAAGCAACCCAAACUGGAAACAAGAUACAUGCCCAGUUUCUCGGACAGAUUUCCUCAAGCCCGGCAGAACACGGAAGACGAAGAAAUUCGUUAAAAAAUCCACGAGCAAGCAGCAAGAGAGAGAGAGAGAGAGAGAGACAUAAAAAACUUUGCCAAGCCCAAAGUCGUUGAUGUUAAGCUAGGCCGUGCUUGAAGCGCGUGAUGAUGAUCAUGAAAGUUCCUGUCAAGAUGCUCGGUGGAUUCUCCGUGUCUCCAGCUAGAGACUUAUCGACACACUAUCUAUCUGGUAAUGUUUCAAAACGAGUAAACUAAUCAGUGUUUGUUGGGAAUGAAUGUUUGUGCUGCUUGGCCACUUGCACUGCGGCGGCAGCAGAGGAGGAUGUUUUGCGGCAACUAUACCUGACUAAAUCGAAGUACUUUAAUUGCAAUUUGCAAGAUCACAAGUACUAGUCCUGAAGAAAAACAGCAAGAUGUGCUUAUAAUCAAGGCAUUCUUGCAACGCAAGUGGAAAUUCACUAUGUUUACCUGGGCUUUCCAAGGAUGCUUCAUCUGAAUCGCAUAGUGUCACCCUGCUGUAUGAAAAAGACAAGAGAAAAAUUCUUACUCACUAGAGUUUGUUAAUUUUACUCUAGCUAUUACAAAUUUUCCAUUGUUGAUACUCACUGUAGCUUCAUUCAACUCCACACUUUUUUACUUAAUUAGAGAUGUAAAGUUUUGUCUCAUGUUCUAGAAUUUUGUCUAUAGUUACAAAACCACAAGCUUAUCCAUAAAUGGAUUGAUAUUACUAUAAACAAUUAAAGAAAACAACUUGAAAGACGAUUAAUAGGGUUGAAAUAUAGAGGGAAAGGGCUCAUGAAUAAAAAUACAUUUUAUUUUUCAAAUGCACUCAUUUUUCCAAUCGGUUAAAGGUCCUGGGAUAUUUGGGGUUAAGUGUUUCUGGGUUGGGUGACUUCCCGGGAAUUUUAAAUUCAAGAGUUUAUAAUUACUUCAGUGCAGAAGUAUAAUCUUAACUUCUCUCUCUUCCUUUCAGCUUCUUUUCUUUGCUUUUCAAUAUGUAGUGAGUGAAAUGCUUUCACUCGUAAGUUUUUCAUAAGUGAGUGAAUAAAACUUGAUUAACUUUUAUAACCUACUUUUCCAAAGUUACAUUUAAGAUGGCCAAGUGAGCAGUGUGAUGUGUUCUUACAACCAAGUGAAUAGUUUUUUAACUUGUGCUAAUCAAAGUUUGCUCAUAGAUAUAAUACAAAAUAAGUGGGGAUGCAAUAAAUUUAUUCAUUUCUCUUCUCGAGAAAAAUCAUUCUUUUACUUCUUGUUAAAUAUAUAGUUUUUGAUUGUGAUGUUCUUCACUUUUUUUGAAGGGUAUACUCCCUUAGCCAAAGAUGCAAUUGUUGAUUCUAUGUUAUAGGUAAAAAUUUGAUAAUUAGAAUUGUUGCACGUUUCAAUAUUAAUUUUGGGACCAACUUCUAAAGUUUUACCAAGAUUAUUUUAAAUUAAUAAGUUCAAAACUUUUUCUUGACAAUCAUGAGAAGUCAAAAUAUCACCAAGGUUAACUUUAACCAUAUAAUAUCCAAUCUCAUUACAACCAAAAUGUGGCUUAGAUUAUUCAAUGGCAAUUCAAGAGCUGGUCCUCUUUAACAAGUUCCAUAUAUAAAUAAUAUAGUGAUUUACCCUUUCUUUUUUUGUAAGUUAUUGUUUAAAAAGAGUUUAUUUUAAAUUCACUUAAAUCUUUCUCUUGAGAAACUACUUAGCUUGGCAUAAAAUCUUAGCAACCCAAUACUAAAUACUAGUCCAAAAAUUUGAGAAAAACAUAUAAACCAGUAUAGUAAUGAUAAUUUGAAGCUUUUUCUUGCCAAUUUACAAGGUAUAAUAAAUGAUUGAGAUGUUGGUUCUCUAAACAAAGAUGAGAUAAAGAUUGGGAGUGAUCUUAGGCAAACAUCUCUAAGCCAAACUUCUUCAUUUGGCUCAUAAACUUGGUUGAGUUUGCAAAGGUUUCGAUAAAGUUUAUUUUUGAAUUUUUGCAUGUCAUAAAUGCUUAUCAAGGCAAUGUAAAUAGGAGUAUACUAUAAUUAUGGCUUGUCAUUUUUGUUAUGGUGGUGGUGAUUGCAACUAUCACCAUGCUUUCAACAUCUUUAUAAAUGAUUAAUUUUUUUUUACUUUAGGAUCAUCUAAAGGAGUCUCACUUAUAAUUUCUAUAGGCCCUGAUAUUAAUUUGGGUGUUUCCUAACUUUAAGAUGUGUUUUUGUAACCACAUCAACUUUGUACUUGGUCUAAAUGCUCUAUGUGUCUAGUUCCACUUUUGGAUACCCAAAUGACUAGAUAACUUUUUAUGAAGUCCAAAUUUAAAAACUUAUAUUGGUAUUAGAAAAGUGUAAGGUGUGACUCUAUUAGUUGAUUAAAAAAAUCACACCACAUGUUAAGAUUGAUAUUUAAUAGGUUUAGUUUACUCUAAUUUCAACUCGAGGGGUAAGGUGUUAAAAGAGUAAGGCUCUUAGAAGAGCCCUACUCUUGCAAAAAAACAUGAUGGAUUAUAAACAACCAAAGAUAAUAACUUAAAAAAUUAUUAAUAUUAUUUUAAAUAUAGAAAUGUACUCUUUGUUCCAAUUAGUUGUAAGUAUUAGGUUAUUUGAGAUUAAGCAUCUUUAAAUAGUAUUGGGUUAGAUGACCUUCUAGAAAGCCCAAAUUCAGGAGAUUAUAGUGCCAUAAAUAAUAUAAGUUAAUGUUUGUAAAGAAACUAGCAAGAAAGAAAACAAUUUAAAAUUAAACAACCUUUUAAAAAUGAAAUAUUUACUAGAAUGUUCAAAAUAAGUAUUUAGAAAGCAUUUUUAUUAGAGCUACUCUCAAGUAAUACUUGAUGUGUUGCAAAUGAUUUCAUAGUAAAAAAUAUCUUUAUACUUCAUUUUUAAAAUAAUAAUUAGUGGUGUUUAAUACAUAUUUUGUAUUUUCUAAACAAUAUCUAGAGACACUCAAAAACCUUUUGCUGUUAAAUUAUUGUCAUUCAAGCACUUGUUUACAAUAGUUAAAACACAAUACAAUGUUUGGUUUUAUGGGAUGGUAAAUAUAUGUAAUUGAGGAGAGUAAACAGAUUUCUAUAUAGACUUUAGUAAGUAAAUGGAAUUGUGAACAAUGACAAUUUUCAUAAGUCUUUAAACUGUAGUUUGUAACAUAUUUUAGCUAAAUAUUAAUUUAAAAAAUAAGUUGAAGUUGGUAAAGAUAAUAUAAAGUUAUCUCCUACAGUAUGUGAUGAUAAAUAACAAUUAAGCAUUUGUAUUUAGUUUUGAAAUGCAUUACCUCAAAAGGUUUAUUAAUAAUAAUUAACUUUAUUCCUAGAAUUGUUUUACCAAAGAUGCCAAAAUGAAAAAAUGCCACUAACAUGAGAUCAUCUGAGUAGCUUUUCUUUAAAGCAUUCAAUACUAAAACAUCAGAAUAAAUAUAAAAAUUAUUUUAUAGCAAUAUGCAAAGAUACCUCAUCGACUUAUAUCAAGAAAUGUAGCAUAAUCAUAGUAAAAAUGCCCUACAUAGUCUUUGUUAAAUAAAACUAAAAUCAUAGUUAUAUUUGAAUGUAAAAUAGCUUUGUAAAUCUAUACUGUUUUAUAAUCCAAGGUUAUAGGAUGGAUAUUAAAAUAUUUGGCCAUGAUUGUCUUUUGAUCAAUUUCUUUCACAAUUUUAGUCUUCUUAUCAAAAUAUGAUUAAUAUGACAUCAUUUGACUAGCUUUUCCUUCACUUGAAUUAUUAAACAUUCAACACUGAAAUAAACUUGGAACAUUAGAAUAAACAUGAAAUAAUAUUUUAAAGCAAUAAUGCAAAUUUACCUCAUUGACUUCUAUUACAAAAUAUAGCCCAAUCAUUCCAAAGACAUAUAGCAAUAACUUUAUAAAGCAUAUUUAUUUACUUUCAUCUUGCCAAAUCAUCUCGUAAAAAUAUAGAUUGAUGAUCUGAUUUAGAAUGGUUUUUGUUAGAUAAAACCAAAAACUUAAAUGUUAAAUACCUUUGUAGACCCAUAUUUUUCUUUCAUCCAGGAUUAUGGGAUGAAAAACAAAACAUAUGAUUAAUGAUUUACUUUAAAUACCCUACAUAGCUUCUGUUAGAUAAAACUAAAAGUAUGGAUACAUUUCAAUAUAAAAUACCUUUGUAAAUAUAUAUUGUUUUAUCAUCUAAAUUAUAAGAUAAAAAAUAAAUUAUUUGGUAGUUUUUCCUUCAUUUAAAGCAUUAAAAAUUCAACACUGAAAUGAACUUGAAACAUUAGAAUAAACAGGAAAGAAUAAUUUGGAGUUAUAAUGCAAACUUACCUCCUUAACUUCUGCUAUAAAAAAUACCCCAAUCAUACCAAAGACAUAUAGUAAUAACUAUAUAAAGCAUGUUUAUUUACCUUUGUUUUACUAAACCACCUCAUAAAAAUUUAGAUUGAUGAUCUGCUUUAAAAUGGUGUUUGUUAGAAAAAACUAAAAACUUAAAUAUUAAAUACCUUUGCAGACCCAUAUUUUUCUUCCCUCUAAGAUUGUGGGAUGAAGAGCAAAAUGUUUUUCCAUGAUUGUCUCCUGUUUUUCUUCUUUCCCAAUUGUAGUUGUCACUAGCUUAAAUAUCUCUUGCACAUCUUCUGCUUUGGGAUUUGUAGUUAACUUAUUUUUGAGAAGACAUGAAUCCAAAAAGCUUAUGAGGCUUCCCUUGAUCUCAUCCACCAUUGCAUUCAUUAUUUCUCCAACACCAGCAAAAUGUCCUCCAACUUUAGCCCCAAUAAAUAAUAGGAUCAAUGUAUGUUUAAAUAUUGGAGCAAAUUUCUUGAGCCAGUUUGGUGGGAGAUCCAAUUCAACACCUACAGAACUCUUCACUUGAUGACCUUUAAAAGUUCCUUGAGGCCAUUCACACAAGUAGUGAAGUUUAACAUGUGUUCCCAAUAUUUUGCUGUAAUUUUUCCACCUAUUAUUCUCAUCAAGAAUAUAUGGAUAUUUUGGGCAAUCUGUCUCCAAUUUCAAUAAUACUUGAAAACACGUUGUAUGGAUUGCAUUCACUUUAUCCAUGAUAGACUUGAGUCCAUUCUUGAGCUCGUUAAGGCUUACUUCAAUGUUAUCAAGUUUUGUAUCCAACUUGUCAAACCGAUUCUCCAUUUUAUCAAACUUCUUAUCAAAAUAUCUAAAAAUUGCAUCGAGUUUUGGGUCUUCAAUGUUUGGAAACUCAACAACAUUUAAUGAUGCUUUGGGAAUUGUGACUUCUCCAACCUCCUCAUAGUCCUUUAAGAGUUCAUGAAGCUCAACAAACUUAUUCACCACUUCAUAUUUUUGCUCAUUAGGCAUCAAUAACUUGGCCAAAGCAUUCUCAUCUGAGACCUUCAAAUCGUUAAUCACAUCCCAACUCUCUGCUUCAUGUGAAUCAUUCCAAGUGUGAGAGUAGUCUAGACCGCUUUCUCUUGCUUCACAUUUGACUUUCUUUAGUGGAUAAAUAACUGCAUCCCAUGAUUUUGGUUUGCCCACAUUAUUUAGUAUCCUUCUCCACACAUAACCACGUCUCAUCACAUUUUCUUCAAUUUCCAAAAAUGGGCAAUCCUCUAUACAUACCCCAAUAAUGCAAUUUCUAAUUUUUUCCAUCCAUCCUUCAGCUUCUUUUUCCAAAUCCGGCCUUGGUGCAUUCUCUACCUUUUUUGGGUAGUAGAUGAUGACAUCAACCCAUUGCCUAUCUUUCCAAUUGUCUGUGUCUCCCCCAACUCUAACAAUUGUCUUGAUAAGGUUUUCUUUCAAAGCCACCCAUCCAUUCCCAGGCCUAAAACCUUUCUUGCUUAAUUUGUGAAGUUUAACUUGGAUCUUUGUGAAAAUACUUGCAGGAAACAAUUUCAAGUCCUUGUCUUUGCAUUCAAACCUCCUGCCCCAGUAGUUGUGGUUUUUUUGAGUGUCAAUUGGCACUGAGGGUGACAAUAAAUAUUCUGGAGGUGAAUAUUCUUCUUGCAAUAAUGUUGGCAUUAUCGGCUCUUUGGGCAAGUUAUGCCAAUUCCCAUCCCAUUUAUCAUCCCAAGGCAAUAUCACUCCCAUCUCAUGGAGCACUCCAAGAAUGUACUCCACUAUUUUGUCUUGGUUCCCACAUUGUUGCUUCAACUGAUGUUUAACUCUGUGUGUUUCCAUUUGACUUUUGAAUUUGCUUGUCUCAGUAUGUAUGAAGAGUUGCACCACAUCCCUCAUAAACCAUUGGACAUCUAAGAUGACAAAUUGAGACACAAUGUCGUCCUCUUCAUGUCCCAAGCCAAAGUAAAUUGCAUCACCAGAAUCAUGUAGAAAUUGCAAGACGAAUUUGAGAACAUUCUUGGAACUCCUGUGAGGCAAGAGAAUUUUGCCAACUUUUUCUAGGGGUAUGACCUUCUUGUGACUUGGAUCUUGUACCAAUUUCCUCUUUGCUUUGAGACAUUCCCGUGGUAUUUGUUGCUGGGCUGACAGCAGUUCCUCCAAGCAACUCCCCAACAUGGUUUUUAUCCCCCUUAAAUCUUUCACUUGAGUGGCCACCACCUCAAAACAAAAGUCAUUCCCAAACUCAAGUACUUGCCAAUAGCCUUUGUCGGAGAUUAUUGCAGAAACCACCUCCUUUGGGUCAAAGUCGGGUUCUGGAGUGAAAAAGUUCAAGGCAAUCAAGACCCUGGGCUUCCUUUUGGGUGAGGCUGAUUGAUGUGAAGCGAUGAACCUCAGCCAGUAAACCAAAUUCUGCUUGAAAACGUCACAAUUGUCAUCCUCCACCUUGCAUACGAUCAAGAAGAGAUCCUUCUCACUUCCUCUGAGAAAGUACUGGUGGAAAGCAUGGAACUCUUCCUGUCCAGCCAGGUCGCAAAUGAGCAGCUUUUGUUUGGUGGUCGCAUAGACAAGUGGUUGCAGCUCAAUGCCUGCUGUUGAAGCAUGCCUUUGGAGACAUGAUGGAAACCAAGACACUCUGCGGCAGAGGUUGUUUUUUAUUGUGGUCUUUCCAACCCUGCUAUCACCACACAAGAAGAGUUUUGCUGUUGAUGGGUUGUCAAAGUCCUUGAAUGCACUCUUCUGGAAGAUUGCAUUCCGCUCUAAAAGACCAGAACACCUCUGCUUGAAAGCUUCAGAAGCUUCGGAAUCACUGCCUAUAUCAAGCUCUUCCACGAGGCUUUGGUAGUUUUCCUCCAGGGCAGCCAGAAUUUGUCUUUUCUGUGCAUCACUAUCAAGAAAACGAGCCCUGAAUCUGCGCACCUUGCAUUUUGGAUCCCCCAGCAACUGGCAAAGCUCUUCCAGCUUUUCAAUUUCUUCCUGACGUAUUUCCAAGUCUUCAAUGCUGCUUCCCAAAAGGCACCUCCAUGGCAGCUCCGACUCACAUGACAAAGCUUUCAGAGACUUGCAGCUGGUGAUAGCUUUCCAAAAGGGCUCCCCAUUCGUGAUUUUGCAGCUCCAUAUACCCAAAUGCUCCAGUUGGCUCUUCUCUAUGCCCUCGGCAAACUCCAACGGUAACUCUGUCCUGCUACCCCAUAUUUUCAAAUGGCGCAGCUUACAAUGUGGACUUGAGAGAGCUGACCACAGACUGCUGUCACAGACCAUUCCUCCUCCCUCGUUGAACCAAUCAAGGUCAAGGUUGAGCUUGAUCAGCUUGCAAUUGGGAUUUUGUAGCGCUCUGCCCAACCAUCCACCACCAUCACCUGGAUAAAGUCUAACGCAGAGUUCCUCCAAGCCACACUUAGCGCUGCACAGGGCCUCACCCAGGCCCGUUGCAUUGCUCAGGUCCUCACUCUGUCUCAUUUCUCGGCAAUCUAAAACUGACAGGCUGGUGCCCUCCUGAAGAGCCUUGCAUACCCAUGGCAACACUCCAGCAUCAGUACCCCAAAAUAGGUAUAGUCUUUGCAGCGAACAGUUUGGACUCGUGAGUGCCUUGAAGAGUGCUUCACCUGCCUCCUCUGGAAACGAAUAUGCCUCCAGUGCCACUAGCUUAUUGAAAAUGCCAUUCUGAAAUGCCUGUUCCCACCCUUCCUUGUCAAUGUCCUUAUCUUCGAUGACUAACUCUUCCACCUUGCACUCCUGACUUGCCAGAUCCCUACUCAAUUUCCCAAAUCCUUCCACUGUCAUCCUGUUCCCCCGCAAUUCGAGACGUUUCAAGUUGUUUCCUGCUUUCCUAAGGAGUUGGCUAAGGAGAGUCUCUGGGUUCCCAACCUUGUCCAACCAGAGCUCUGUCAAGCAGUCGAGCUGAGCAAAGGCCAACUCAAGCUCCUGAGGUGGUGUGAGGAUGUCUUUGCCUCCCCAACGGAAAUCUAGGCCUUUCAAGACUUUGAAUUCCUCUGUCAUCAUCAGUAGCUUUGCAAACCUCUGCACCUCAAUCUGGCCAAUGUCCUGUCCC
Molecule: long non-coding RNA, 16139 nt
Filed under: Selaginella moellendorffii
Lineage: Eukaryota; Viridiplantae; Streptophyta; Lycopodiopsida; Selaginellales; Selaginellaceae
Description: long non-coding RNA (SMOE_LNC001357)
Source: RNAcentral